RNAcentral lists this ribosomal RNA (537 nucleotides) under uncultured Alphaproteobacteria bacterium. RNAcentral describes it as "bacterial SSU rRNA". It matches the Rfam family "Bacterial small subunit ribosomal RNA", at positions 527 to 1063 of the family's 1533-position model. The record is from RNAcentral. Lineage: Bacteria; Pseudomonadati; Pseudomonadota; Alphaproteobacteria.
GGAGGGGGUUAGCGUUGUUCGGAAUUACUGGGCGUAAAGCGCGCGUAGGCGGAUUAGAAAGUUGGGGGUGAAAUCCCGGGGCUCAACCUCGGAACUGCCUCCAAAACUGCUAGUCUAGAGUUCGAGAGAGGUGAGUGGAAUUCCGAGUGUAGAGGUGAAAUUCGUAGAUAUUCGGAGGAACACCAGUGGCGAAGGCGGCUCACUGGCUCGAUACUGACGCUGAGGUGCGAAAGUGUGGGGAGCAAACAGGAUUAGAUACCCUGGUAGUCCACACCGUAAACGAUGAAUGCCAGUCGUCGGGUAGUAUACUAUUCGGUGACACACCUAACGGAUUAAGCAUUCCGCCUGGGGAGUACGGUCGCAAGAUUAAAACUCAAAGGAAUUGACGGGGGCCCCCACAAGCGGUGGANCAUGUUGGUUUAAUUCCAAAGCAACCCCCAAAACCUUACCAACCCUUGACAUCCUGUUGCUACAUCCAAAANUGGAUGUUCCCUUCCGGGACGCAAUGACAGGUUCUGCAUGCUGUCCUCACUCCUN